UCAACGAGUCGGGUUGUUUGGGAAUGCAGCCCAAAUCGGGCGGUAGACUCCGUCCAAGGCUAAAUACAGGCGAGAGACCGAUAGCGAACAAGUACCGCGAGGGAAAGAUGAAAAGGACGUUGAAAAGAGAGUCAAAGAGUGCUUGAAAUUGCCGGGUGGGAAGCGGAUGGGGGCCGGCGAUGCGCCCCGGCCGUAUGCGGAACGGCUCUUGCUGGUCCGCCGCUCGGGUCCCUCGGGGCACUGCGCUGCAACGGCCUGCGGGCUCCCCAUCCGACCCAU
RNAcentral lists this ribosomal RNA (279 nucleotides) under Triticum aestivum (bread wheat). RNAcentral describes it as "partial small subunit ribosomal RNA". It matches the Rfam family "Eukaryotic large subunit ribosomal RNA", at positions 257 to 652 of the family's 3401-position model. The record is from RNAcentral. Lineage: Eukaryota; Viridiplantae; Streptophyta; Magnoliopsida; Poales; Poaceae.